CCUUUCCGCCUCUGCUGCAGGUGUGGCCAGCGCUAGCUCAAGCCGUGAGCAUCUGAUGCGGUCAACAGGCAGUUUCUUAGGCUGAGGUGAACUGGAAGACACACGAAGCACGCGUUGGAGGAGAAGGGUGUGUGGCAUCCACAGGAGGGACAGGAAACUGAGGCCUGGACGAGAUGGAAGAAUUUGAAGAGAAACCUGACACCAGAUUACCUGUCUUUACAUGCCAGUAGUCUCUCAGUGGCAGCUCA
This is a non-coding RNA of Miniopterus natalensis, 248 nucleotides long. NCBI's taxonomy places the organism in Eukaryota, Metazoa, Chordata, Mammalia, Chiroptera, Miniopteridae. The record is from RefSeq and is a predicted model, not a curated record.